AGGAAUCCUUUGCUAUGGGCCACAGCAGGCAAGAGGAUAAACUAAAAGUCUGAUUUUUGGGUGGAUGUUGAAAAUCCAAACCCACUUCUAGAUCCAAGCUUUACAGAUUUGUUUGAACACUCCUGACUUUCGGGGCAUUUGAAAUGCAGGAGCUGCUCUUCUACAAAUAGUGUUCACUGAGACUAUUAAACUGAGACUUGA
RNAcentral lists this long non-coding RNA (201 nucleotides) under Chrysemys picta bellii (western painted turtle). RNAcentral's name for it is "lncRNA (ENSCPBG00000020914.1)". Lineage: Eukaryota; Metazoa; Chordata; Testudines; Emydidae. The record is from RNAcentral.